UACAGAGGGUGCGAGCGUUAAUCGGAAUUACUGGGCGUAAAGCGUGCGUAGACGGUUAUUUAAGUCGGGUGUGAAAGCCCCGGGCUCAACCUGGGAAUUGCAUUCGAGACUGAAUAGCUAGGGUACGGUAGAGGGAAGUGGAAUUUCCGGUGUAGCGGUGAAAUGCGUAGAUAUCGGAAGGAACAUAAGUGGCGAAAGCGACUUCCUGGACCAGUACCGACGUUCAGGCACGAAAGCGUGGGGAGCAAACAGG
Molecule: ribosomal RNA, 253 nt
Filed under: uncultured bacterium
Lineage: Bacteria
Description: partial 16S ribosomal RNA
Rfam family: Bacterial small subunit ribosomal RNA
Source: RNAcentral